RNAcentral lists this long non-coding RNA (825 nucleotides) under Equus caballus (horse). Its description in RNAcentral is "lncRNA (ENSECAG00000050077.1)". Lineage: Eukaryota; Metazoa; Chordata; Mammalia; Perissodactyla; Equidae. The record is from RNAcentral.
CGGAGAGCCCAGCCGAGGCCCCAGGGCAGAUGCCCUCUGUGUCUCCUGCUGGAUGUGGCACCGAGUCUUGGCGGGCGCUGCUGCCUCACCGUGCUGGAGGGCUGGCUAAAGUAACUACAGAAGGAAUUGAUUUCUUUUACUGCUGAAAAGCAGCCUUCCCGCAGAUGGAAGGUGGCAGCUCUUGAUCCAAGAGGAUCGAUUUGCUGCAGUCAGUCUGCUCAGCUUACAGAAAAACUCCGCACAACUGGCUGGCUGCAGAAGCAGAGAGGAGGCUCCGCCAAGCCGGCUCAGGAGUCUGAAGCAGCUAGAAGCUCUGCCCAGGAGAACAGAGGAGCAGCUGUCACCUGAGAGAGGCCCCAGCAUAAAUCACAGGCACCAGGAAAGGAGAGCAGGCUCAACUGAGCACCAGGACACUCUUGGCUUUUGUCCAUUGACGACCUGCCGGGGAACUGGGCUGUGUUUCCUUUUGCCUCCAAAUCAGACACGUUCAUGCUGAAAACCUUAGCCCCUGCUGCUACCCUCUUCAAAUAGAAAUAAAGAACAGUCUGGACCCCGGAAGGCAGCUCUUUAAAUCGCCCUCUGCCCAAGCUGCCUUCCCCGGGCAGCCAUUGCUGAACUUGUCAGCACCCUUGUCGAGUUCCCUCCCGGGGGGCCCGAUGCCGUGAUUACAUGGUGCUAGGUGCUGAGCGUAUUCCAAAAUCAUAGUUCCUUCCAGUUAAACAAGGCAGUUUAACCCAUGCAGUCAGCUCUUCUUCCUCCUGAAACCUCACUAAAAUGACUGCUGAAGAGUAAAAUGUGAUGAAGCCACAGGAUAGAAGAAAUGUG